UGGGGGAUAUUGCACAAUGGGCGAAAGCCUGAUGCAGCGACGCCGCGUGGGGGAUGAAGGCCUUCGGGUUGUAAACUUCUUUUGCUCUGAACAAGGCAUGCUAAUGGGUGUGUUGAGUGUAGGGGUUGAUUAGCGCCGGCUAACUACGUGCCAGCAGCCGCGGUAAUACGUAGGGCGCGAGCGUUGUCCGGAAUUAUUGGGCGUAAAGGGCUUGUAGGUGGCUGGUUGCGUCUGUCGUGAAAGCUCAUGGCUUAACUGUGGGUUUGCGGUGGGUACGGGCUGGCUUGAGUGCAGUAGGGGAGGCUGGAAUUCCUGGGGUAGCGGUGGAAUGCGCAGAUAUCAGGAGGAAAACCGGGGGCGAAGGCGGGUCUCUGGGCUGUUACUGACACUGAGGAGCGAAAGCAUGGGGAGCGAACAGG
RNAcentral lists this ribosomal RNA (419 nucleotides) under bacterium. RNAcentral describes it as "partial 16S ribosomal RNA". It matches the Rfam family "Bacterial small subunit ribosomal RNA", at positions 355 to 776 of the family's 1533-position model. The record is from RNAcentral.